This is a long non-coding RNA of Gadus morhua (Atlantic cod), 3260 nucleotides long. RefSeq lists it as uncharacterized. The transcript is spliced from 2 exons. The record is from RefSeq and is a predicted model, not a curated record. NCBI's taxonomy places the organism in Eukaryota, Metazoa, Chordata, Actinopteri, Gadiformes, Gadidae.
AGACGCAUCACUAGAAAAGGAGGAUAAUCUUAUUUCUUCCCCAGUGGGGUGUUGUUUGCGGUAACCCCUGUUAUCCGUGUCUGAAAUAUCUGAAUAUUAAAUCCCACGAAAUGACUUGGACCAGUUGUCUCGGACUUCUGAGGACUGAUCUGAUGCUAGCUGUGGGCUAACCCUAGCUUUGUGCUUACACUAGCUCUAGGUAAAUGCUAGCGCUCACACCAAUGGUGGGUUUAUUCUAGCACUGUGCUCACUCUACGAGUCACCUUACUACAGGCUAAAGUGCUGACUAUGAUUCCACGUCAAUGCAAGGACCGCGCAGAUGCUUCGACGUAGUCGUAAACCUUUUUUGGUUCUGCAUCGGGUUUUUGUGAGCCGACCAAUCACUGCCCUUGCUGCUGUGUGGCCUCGACAGAAAGUAAUUCUUUUUGGGAGGUGCACGUCACACCCUUGCGGUGGACGCAAGGAGGGUCCGCAAGGAUAUAAUUGGUCCGUAAACCCCCUUGCGUUGGGGCGACGUGGAACCAUAAUCAGCCCUUUAGUCUAGCUGUGACGAUGAUGCUAAUGAUGGGCUUAUGCAAGCUUUUGACGAGUGCUAGGUCUGGGGGGGAAAGAAGACGCCUGCCAGUUCCCUCCUUAGAUCUCCCCUGGCUGGCUGGAUGCCAAUGUUUCCUUGGGCAUGACAUCUAGCCCAAGCUGCUCCCGAAGAGGUGUUUCCUGUCAUGCUCGACACCACAUGCUCGACACCACUGCCGUCAAUAUGUGAAUGUGAACCGCCAGGAGUGGCAGUUCCUAAUGAACGCCUAAAAUUCCCCCUAUUAAUUUACGUGAGGUGAAAAAAUAAGGCAUCGUAUCAAUCCGGUCUAUUUACCGUUUAUGAGCUCUGGUCUGAUUUUGUGUGCUUUCAAAACUUGUGAAAUGUUGUUAUGAUUGGUCGGUAAGGGAGGUCUCAUAAAUCUGUUUCCAUCCCACUGGGCGCGGGGUGUUGCAUGCUGGGAGAUCAGUGCAACGUGGAGAGGGUGGACUUGGACGGCCUGAGGAGACAGACAUACCUGUGGAGGAGAAGGAGAAGGGGGCACCUCCCACCUGCCUGUCCUGCCCAGGAAAGGUGGCUGUCCUUAGGACAACGGUUCGCAUCAGGGCUGCGUACCAUUGCAGAGAAAGCCCCAUCUUCCCGCUCCGAGAUCCCUCUUUCCAUAGGCAAGUACUGCCGCCAAAUCACUGGUAAAACUAGAAUGAGAUCACAAAUUGUAAUGGUACCUACAGAUGUUUCAAAGCAGCCAGGUUUAAUCCAGGGAUUGUCCCCUGUUUUUUGAGAGUGUUGUCAUUGAGUGAGCGAUUUCAGUGAUUGACCACUCUGACAAGUUUGCUACAUUGCACCUUCUCAUGUAUGUAAAUCCGGUCCCUCGAGACACGGCAUUAGCAUAAAGGCAGCAGAUAAUGUAUGGUGGGAUAUAGUUCGGUAGGUACUUGAAGAUAUAUAUACCCCACACGCGUCACACACUGACUUGAAUAAAGACGAGAGGUAGAUCUCGAUUGAGGAGAAGCAAAUGGAUAUUGGUGUACCUGCUUUUCAAAAGGGACAGUUUGGCAGUAGAAGCUGACCAGAAAUGGAGAGAGAUAAUGAGUGGUGUAUGCAUCAGCAGGUCCUCGUAUCCUGGCCUAUGAAUCCAGACCGUAUUCAUUCACGCACACAAAGCAGGCUCCUCGCGUGAGCAUCAAAUCUCUGCCUGAAAUUUUGAAGAUCAUAAUGUUCCCUGAUGUCGCCUGAUAUCUCCCCAUCAUCUCUUCAGUGUUUAACUGGAGACCCAGUCCAACGAGAGAGGAGGUUGAACUCUCCAUCUUCACCCCCUCCCCCGUGUGGCAUCUUGAGGGCAACGCUGUCAAGACAACCAGGAGUGGGGAGACGCAUAACAAGACAAGUGGUGAAGUUUGCUGAGAUGCACCAGGUUCACUACGACUCUUAGUGAUCCCAUCAGAGGUCACACUCCCUCCCCCGCUACCAUGCAGUCUCGCCUCAGACAAGACCCUUACCCCACAGUCUUCUUCUAGAUGAAUCAGUGCUCAUGCUUGGUCUGGCAACAACUGGCAAAUGAAAAGAUUCAGCCUGAUAAAGAAGUUGUGCAGCACAGCAUCAUCAACGGCUUGUCUAGCCCUCUUACGAUGACUUACGUUUAUUACAGUACGUCUUGCUCAACUUCACACGACUAUGACCAUAAACGUCUUGCAGAACCAACCGACUGUUCAGUGGCAAGAAAAACCUCCCAACUAGUCAUUGGGGAAGCAAAGAACCCUAUGGGUUGUGACAUAGUAACACAAUAAUUAGAUUAGAUUAGGUAAAAUGGUGCCUCACACAUUGUUUAAAUGGCUUAUGUAUAUCUACAUAAGCCAUGUUUUUGAUUAAUUUAACACUUCAUAUCAUUGCGUCUCUUCCCAAGAAAACCCUGAUGGGAUAUUGUGCUUUUCGUGAAUAAGUAAUAUAUGGUCUGGCUGACCAGAAGGGGAAUAAAACUGCUAUUCAAGUACCCUCAGCCUCCUAAAGGAGGACAUCAACUGUUAACAUUUAGCAUAUCGCAGCCAAGAUAUAACGAGCCAAGAGCAAGCUUUCAGUCGUCCAUCUUUUUUUCCUUGGAGCAGCAGGUGUCACGACAGCAGAGUCCUCCCGGGUGGGGGAGGACACGAAGAGCUGUGCACAGACACGGGUUCUGUGUUUGGGAAAAGGUGACUGUCACCAUCAUUCACACAAAAUCACUGUGAUCCCCAGGGGGAGAGUGACGCACUGUGUAAGGAAUUAUUCAGAAGCUUUUGACAGGAGGGCAUUGGGAUAAAAAUAGUAAAAUCAAACAAAAUGACUAACCUUUGUCUGAAGUUAAACUUUGCCUCCACUGGUGGUUUGGUGGUCAUUGUGGUGACCAUUAGUGGGAAGGCGUGGUUAUGGUUUUUGGAAGACCGAUUCAACGCUUACAAGAAGUUAACUUGUAUCCCAAAAUACAAUCAUACAGAAUAAAACGACAAGCAGAAACAAGACGAGUCCACAAACAGGGGGCAGAACGAGGGAGUUACACGGAUACAUGGAACACAGGUGACCCAGAAUGAGUAGCUAGCACAGGUGUCACACAUUUAGCUAACGAGACACCGUAGACCUUUGAUGCUUAUGGGGCAGGACCGGGGAAAAGGGGAGGAUAAACCACCACAUCUGGUGGUUAUAGCGUAUCGGCUAUUCUUGCUUGUUGUAAUUUCUCCACAUUAAAGCUAAUUGUCUA